RNAcentral lists this long non-coding RNA (210 nucleotides) under Vigna radiata. RNAcentral's name for it is "long non-coding RNA (VRAD_LNC007327)". The record is from RNAcentral. Lineage: Eukaryota; Viridiplantae; Streptophyta; Magnoliopsida; Fabales; Fabaceae.
UCAAACAAAGGGAGCAGCCUGGCCACUACCACCUCCUCCAAUAACCUCUGCACUCUCUAUAACCUACCACCACCACCUUCUUUUAUCGAUGCUGCAAAAUUUCCCGGUCGCACCAUUAGCGGCGCUACCAUGUUUUUCGGCUUACCAUUACCUUGCUCUUCUCCUGUACAGCGCAUCAAGGUGGAAAUAAGGGUACGUUUUCGAAUCUUC